Molecule: ribosomal RNA, 173 nt
Filed under: Salmonella enterica subsp. enterica serovar Infantis
Lineage: Bacteria; Pseudomonadati; Pseudomonadota; Gammaproteobacteria; Enterobacterales; Enterobacteriaceae
Also listed under: 1 other name
Description: partial 23S ribosomal RNA
Rfam family: Bacterial large subunit ribosomal RNA
Source: RNAcentral
GAAGAGAUAAGUGCUGAAAGCAUCUAAGCACGAAACUUGCCCCGAGAUGAGUUCUCCCUGAGACUUAGAGUCUCCUGAAGGAACGUUGAAGACGACGACGUUGAUAGGCCGGGUGUGUAAGCGCAGCGAUGCGUUGAGCUAACCGGUACUAAUGAACCGUGAGGCUUAACCUU